This is a non-coding RNA of Notechis scutatus (mainland tiger snake), 226 nucleotides long. The record is from RefSeq and is a predicted model, not a curated record. NCBI's taxonomy places the organism in Eukaryota, Metazoa, Chordata, Lepidosauria, Squamata, Elapidae.
GCAGCAGAAGUAGCCUGCAGUACUGCAUUCUAAUCACUGUGCCAAUAAAGCAGACUUUUAUUCUUUGAUUAAAGUUAAAGAUCUGGGAAGAAGAUCCUAGCACAUCACAAGAGACAUGGGAGGAAAAUUCUACAAAAUACAGAAAAAUGCCUUGUACCUUUAAGAUUCUUAGAAGUGGAGUAACUGCAAUGUAAAACUCUCUAACUUAGAUUUGCAUCUUUCCUGC